UUUAUUGGGUUUUCUAAUUUUUUUCUUUUAUGAUAAAUUAAAUACUAAGACAUAAUAGAAUAAAUAAGAAGAGCAAAUAGAAACUUACUUGAUAAAUUGGGAGGAACUCCCACAAGCUGGAUGUUGACGUCGGUCUUACCCGAUGUUCCAGAACCGCAUCAUGGUUGUGAUGUUGUCGUUCAUUGUUGUUGUAUCUUGUCUUAGCUCUUCUACUGUAGCGGUAUGGUCCUGGUUCCAUUUUUGUUGCUAUUCCAGGAGUCUUCCAUGUUCUGCUUGCGUGUUCUGGAUGUCGAGGAGGGUGUUGUCGGUACGAGUGAAGAAAGCACCGGCCUCUUGGUAGUAGUCAUUCGUGAAAGCGUAGGAGCCGUCGGAGUAUCGUCCUGCAUCAAAUUGGGGUGGAGGUCUGGAUCCUGAAGCUCCAUAUGGAUCAGUGGAGUACCUGCCCGUAUGAAAAGGCGGGUUUGUCCACUGGUGAUCUUGGCUCUCCGGCCAUGUCUCCUCUGUUGGCUCUUGUGGUUGCGCAUGACGAGCCCAUGGGUCUCGAAGGACUCAUGGAUUGUAAUCGCAAUAAUGCAGGUGCGCUGCUUCUCCUGGUCCGGGAUCAGC
Molecule: long non-coding RNA, 606 nt
Filed under: Sorghum bicolor (sorghum)
Lineage: Eukaryota; Viridiplantae; Streptophyta; Magnoliopsida; Poales; Poaceae
Description: long non-coding RNA (SBIC_LNC018704)
Source: RNAcentral